UACGGGGGGGGCAAGCGUUGCUCGGAAUUACUGGGCGUAAAGCGCGCGUAGGCGGCUUUGCAAGUCGGGUGUGAAAUCCCCAGGCUUAACCUGGGAACUGCAUUCGAGACUGCAUUGCUAGAGUAUGGGAGAGGGAAGUGGAAUUUCCGGUGUAGCGGUGAAAUGCGUAGAUAUCGGAAGGAACAUCAGUGGCGAAAGCGACUUCCUGGACCAAUACUGACGCUCAUGUGCGAAAGCGUGGGGAGCAAACAGG
Molecule: ribosomal RNA, 253 nt
Filed under: uncultured bacterium
Lineage: Bacteria
Description: partial 16S ribosomal RNA
Rfam family: Bacterial small subunit ribosomal RNA
Source: RNAcentral